UUUCAAGUAUCUAUGAGUUUUUUCUAUUCUGUAUAACAUGUGAAAGCUCACCUCUCAAAAUGACAAGAAGGAAAGAUGGAGCUGAGGGUCGGCUUGGCCAUGACACCUUUCCAUUGCAUUUCUUGCCAACCUCCCUCAGGAUCCUUGUCACGACAGUCUGGUUUCAUCACAGCAUUUUACUCCAUGGCUCCUGAUGAAGUCAGUUGAGGAAGCUGCUUUUAAAAAGGUGCAACUACUUUCCUUUCAGCUGGAGAAUGCUGAUGGCACAAGAGACGGCAAAGAUUUUUCCUUGCGAGCUGUGAGGUUCGGUGUGGUCUUUGAACAGCUUCCUGUAGAUUUUCCUCCUGCGUGCGUUGGAUUAAGGCUACAGUAGAUUGUCGACAGCAAAGCAGGUGUAGCAUCAGCUCCAAAUGGGCAAGGACCUUCCAGCAAACAGCAUCUGUCACCCCAAGCAUGAAUGAGCCAUAUGCCAACAGUCCCAAAGAGCAUGUGUUGUACAGACAGGAACGCUCAUAUAUACUUGAAAAUGUUUUCAUGGCCUUUCCAGUGCUACAAAAACCUGUUGCAUGUUAAUUUCAUUGUGAUAUUUGCCCUUUAAUGAGAUUAUCUGGUACCAGUGUUUUUCUUCUUUGACCAUCUUUUAGAAGCCAAAAUUCCACAAAGGAAUAAUUCACAUUUAUGAACUCUCAGAUAAAAGCAAUUAAACAUGAAGCUUCAUCAUACAGCUUUUACACUGGAGUAAGAAUUCCCAUAGCAAAAAUGGUGUUUCUGCUUGUUUGUGAAAUUACCUUCAUUUAAAGUAGUAAUUUGAUGUUGAGAAGAAAGGCAAACAAUUACAGCAAACACUCUCUGUGGUACAAGUACGUUCAUGCUUUUUCUGCCAUCUGACUGCAAAGACAAUAUUUACAUAUGCAUACAAAUCAUAUCACAUAUUGAACCAGUGUUAGAACUGCAAAUAUUAAAGCUGCAAUGAUAUUUUGUUGAUAUUUUAAACACUUGAUGAUGAGGAAAUGCCAAGGCAUUGACAAAACAGCUGGUUGUCAGGUGUUUUGCAGGGCUCAUCUUCAGGAAGUCGAUUUCUGAACAUCUGCAGAUAUUAAGCGUCAGGAAAUCUAUUUCAUCGGCUCCUUUCUAACAAAGCCCAGUAUCACCCAACAGGGCAUGACAGAGAGAUCCAUCCUGGUAGUCAAUGUAUUUUUUAAUUAUUUUCUUCCUGAGGAGCAGAUAAUGCUCUAGGAACAUAAAGAGCAGCACAGAAAGUCCCUCUGCUUUCAGUAGCAAGUUGCAUGUUGAGAUGACAAUGGAGACGAUUAUCACAGUACACAUGUUGUUGCCAUUUAAUUAUUCCCCUUCCUGUAAAAAGUCUGGCUUUAAUUAAAUGUCAAAAUAAAGUGAGAACUUUUCUCCAAGCCA
Molecule: long non-coding RNA, 1413 nt
Organism: Falco peregrinus (peregrine falcon)
Lineage: Eukaryota; Metazoa; Chordata; Aves; Falconiformes; Falconidae
Exons: 3
Source: RefSeq, a predicted model, not a curated record